AAAGAAUCACAACAGCCACAUUGGUGUCUACAUACUUGGCGAAGAUGAAUCCAUAUUCUGCAAAGCUUAUAAGGAUCUAUGCAAAACGAGGAGUCGUCAAUGGACAGAGAAUUAAAAACCUGCUGGUCUCCACAACACGGACUGACAACAUUGAUCAGACUCCGAUCUUUCUUUGUCUACCUGAAUGAAGACCCGACCAGUCUAAUUAAAGAGUAUUUGGAUACAGAUGCACCCAGUACCCAGGAGGCGAUCCAGAAGAUGGUAAUGGGAGUGCUUGUUGUAAAAAUGUAUGGUUCAGACAUCGAAGACAGCCCAGCAGAUGUUGGAGUGUUAUUAAACGGAUUAAGAGUUCUCGGACCUCAACAACAUUGUGUAUGCGACAACCAUGCUGAUGGGACUGAAAUAUGAACUGAACUUGAGCUACUUUCCCAAAUUCAGGUACACUUUUGAAGUAUUGCAGUUGUUGUUUCUGGAGCUAGAUGGGAAGUAACUAUCUCAUAAAGUUCAGACGCUGAAGACCAAGCCUUUUGCAGAUGUUUUGAGAAAGGAAUGUUUUAAUAUUUCAUAUGUAAAUGCCAUGUUUUUGAAAUGGCAGUACAAUAACAUUCAGGAAGUAAGCAGUGUCGUCAAUUUAUUUUGAUAGUUUUGCAGUGUGUUUCUAUUUAAUUAGAUUAAUGUAGAGUUGUUUAAAGCUUUGGCUGUACGUAAAUGGUCCUGCAUCUAAUUUGUCAUGGAAUGUUAACGUUUAUAAUGUUUUUACAGUACCAUUUAACUUAAAAUUAUACCAAAGUUGUUGAAAAAUCUUUGGAAGUCGCAUGUGCCAGCUCUCUGAAUGGAGAGCAACCUAUUUUGUCAGUUAGCAUUACAGUUGUGUAAUAAUGUUGUUUAAUUAUACGUAUCCAGGGGCUUGAAAAAACUGCCUGAAUGGUGCUUCGUGCAUUUCAUUUGUCAGUAAGUGUAAAAAAUUGUAAUGUUAUAAGGUUACAUUGUAAUAUCCAAAGUCCUUGAAAAACUUUGCAAGUUUUUCAAGUUGAUGAGUGCAUCUCAUUUGUCGGUAUAUCCUUUACGGUAUCUGUAGUUUAAGUGCAAUAAACAUGGCUUGAAGAACUGGUGUCUGAGAAUCUUUUAUGAAUAAAAUGAAUGUUAUAUAGAGUUUAUUACAAAAAGUAUAUUUUUGUGUGUGAUUUAACUUGAAAUAGAAAUUGUUGUGUUAAAGUAAAUAAAAGUAAUUGGAUGGAACCACUGUCCACAAUGUAAAUGAGUUGUAUGAAUAAACUACUCUUGAUUUGGACAAGCAAAAAAUAUUUGAUUAGUUUGUACAAGUUAAACACAUGUUCAGAAAACGUAACAAUCUUAAGUUAUGGAUAAGUAACUAAGAUAAUUUUGUUAAACAUUACCACUUCACAUUAGUUAUUUAUUAUUCAAUUGUGUUGCUGCAACAAAAGAAUUUGGCAUUGACUGAAAACAACCCUUAAAUGUUAAUAAAAACUAACUGGGUUGUGUGGAACCACUGUCCACAAUAAAAUUGUGUUCGUUUAAAGUAUC
Long non-coding RNA from Paramisgurnus dabryanus, 1545 nucleotides. RefSeq lists it as uncharacterized. Lineage: Eukaryota; Metazoa; Chordata; Actinopteri; Cypriniformes; Cobitidae. The record is from RefSeq and is a predicted model, not a curated record.